Molecule: non-coding RNA, 935 nt
Filed under: Leptotyphlops nigroterminus
Lineage: Eukaryota; Metazoa; Chordata; Lepidosauria; Squamata; Leptotyphlopidae
Description: partial 12S ribosomal RNA
Rfam family: Bacterial small subunit ribosomal RNA
Source: RNAcentral
CCUUAGCCCAAGAACAAAAGUCUUGGUCCUGAACCUAACGCUGCCCGCCCCUAAAACUAUACAUGCACGCCUCAACAAAACGGUGAGAACCCACCUAGUCUAAUAAGACAAAACGGAGUAAUCAUAAGACACCCGAAACCGGAUCAAAAGAACCCCCCCCACACCUACACAGGAAUUCAGCAGUAACUAACAUUGGGCCAUGAGCGAAAGCUUGACCCAGCUAUAGGAGAGAAAGCCGGUAAAACUCGUGCCAGCUACCGCGGUUAUACGAGAGGCUUAAGAUAGCGCACCCGGCAAAACAUGGCUAGAGAACAUCACAAAGCUUAAGAAGGAAAGAAAAGCAAGCUGUCCAACGCCAAGAGCAAAUGAACCCCACCCACUUAACAAACCGACCCCUUAAACCACCAAAGCUGGGAAACAAACUAGGAUUAGACACCCUACUAUGCCCAGCCAUAAGAGGCCGCCACCAAGCCUGCCAGACAAGUACGAGCGAAAGCUUAAAACUCAAAGGACUUGACGGCAUUCCACAUCAACCUAGAGGAGCCUGUCCUAUAAUCGAUGACCCCCGCUAAAACCUCGCCACCCCUCGCCAAUCAGUCUAUAUACCGCCGUCGUCAGUUCACCCUGCAAAAGAACAAAAGUGGACGGAAUAGUUCUUGCACUAAAACGACAGGUCAAAGCGUAGCUAACGGGGUGGGCUGAGAUGGGCUACAUUUUCUAAAACAGACCACACCAAAAAGCCAAUGAAAAAGGCCAAAAAGGCGGAUUUAGCAGUAAGGCGAGACAGGAAAACCGCCUGAACACAGCACUGGAAUGCGCACACACCGCCCGUCACCCCCAUCCAAAAACAAUUGAAAGCUUCAUAACACCAGCACACCCACCAAGAUGGGGAAAGUCGUAACAAGGUGAGCGUACUGGAAGGUGCGCUCGUACAC